UAAUACGUAGGGUGCAAGCGUUGUCCGGAAUCAUUGGGCGUAAAGCGCGCGUAGGCGGCCCGAUAAGUCCGCUGUAAAAGUCAACGGCUCAACUGUUGAAAGCCGGUGGAUACUGUCGGGCUAGAGUACGGAAGAGGCAAGCGGAAUUCCUGGUGUAGCGGUGGAAUGCGCAGAUAUCAGGAGGAACACCUAUAGCGAAGGCAGCUUGCUGGGACGUUACUGACGCUAAGGCGCGAAAGCGUGGGGAGCGAACAGGA
This 257-nucleotide ribosomal RNA is filed under the name uncultured prokaryote. Its description in RNAcentral is "partial 16S ribosomal RNA". It matches the Rfam family "Bacterial small subunit ribosomal RNA", at positions 521 to 777 of the family's 1533-position model. The record is from RNAcentral.